GAAAUGCGAUAAGUAAUGUGAAUUGCAGAAUUCAGUGAAUCAUCGAAUCUUUGAACGCACGUUGCGCCCCCUGGCAUUCCGGGGGGCAUGCCUGUCCGAGCGUCAUUGCUGCCCUCAAGCACGGCCGGUGUGUUGGGCCCCCGCCCCCCGGAAUGCCAGGGGGGCGGGCCCGAAAGGCAGCGGCGCCGUCCGUCUGGUCCUCGAGCGUAUGGGGCUCUGUCACUCGCUCGGGAAGGACCUGCGGGGGUUGGUCACCACCACAUUUUACCACGGUUGACCUCGGAUCAGGUAGGAGUUACCCGCUGAACUUAC
RNAcentral lists this unclassified non-coding RNA (312 nucleotides) under uncultured Penicillium. Its description in RNAcentral is "sequence contains ITS1". The stretch from base 1 to 105 matches the Rfam family "5.8S ribosomal RNA", at positions 50 to 154 of the family's 154-position model. Lineage: Eukaryota; Fungi; Ascomycota; Eurotiomycetes; Eurotiales; Aspergillaceae. The record is from RNAcentral.